Lutra lutra (Eurasian river otter) is the source of this 1397-nucleotide long non-coding RNA. RefSeq lists it as uncharacterized. The record is from RefSeq and is a predicted model, not a curated record. The transcript has 3 exons. NCBI's taxonomy places the organism in Eukaryota, Metazoa, Chordata, Mammalia, Carnivora, Mustelidae.
AUCCCGUGCAUCCAGUGAGCGGGCAGUAGUUUCUCCAGCUCCGAAGGCGAUCGGGACACAACCCUUUCAAGGUGCUCGGGUUUCCUGGAUGGUCACCAGAGUGAACUUGGCUGCUAUCUACUUGAGCGUUAGUUUCCUCAUCUGUAAAAUGGGACAAACAUCUAUCUCAUAAGUUUGAAGAAGGAGUAAAUGAAAAAUGUAUGCAAAUUAUCACAUGGUUGUUUGUACUCUAGAAGCCAGGAAAGGACAUCAGGGGAGAAACUGGAAAUUGACUUCAAAAAGCCACAGAUCAGCAAGUCCAGAUGAAGACAAACAGGGCCAACUGAGCAACGUGCCACUGAGAGGACAUGGCCACCUCCAACAGGAGGCACGCAUUUCUAAUGGACUUGCAGAUCGCUGGAGUUUUUAUGGAGAUUGUGUCGACCAUGACCUUUGAGAAGAAGGAGAAACACGGACUAUGAGGAAGAAAAGAUGGACUGCCAGCAGGAGAGGUAGCAGGUCAAUGGAUGGUAUUUUGGAGAAGAGGCUCGGUCAACGGACAUGAGGUUCAGAUGGCAGAGAUUCUGGAAUUUUUCUUAAGACGAGAUCGAAAUGAUAAAACAGAGGGUGAACAAAACGAUUUUAAGUCCAGGGGUUAGUCAGAGGGGGACCGCACGGAGAUAGAGUGACCUGAUAGGAAACACUACAGAAUGUGCCAAUUACCACCUAGGCUGCGACAGGGUUUUGAACUAAAGGAAGGAAUCGGGGUGACAUUUUGGAAAAGUAAAUGUUGCAACUUAAUGAUAGGCAGCAUGUUGCCAGUAAAUGAGAGGGGAAAGAAAAAACCUGCAAGGUUUUAAGCUUGGGAUUGUUGAGGGGACAUGGAAAUAAAGAGAAAAUGGGAAGGACUUUCUGCUUUCGGGAAGAUAUCAUUAUCAGCUCAGUUCUGGCGAGAAAGAAAAAGAUACUGAAGAGGGAUAAGAAGGAAAGAUAAAGACUAGAAGAAAGUACUUGUAAGUUACUAUGUAUACAGGACGUUGUUUGAAACCACGAAUUCACAUGAUUCCUCCUGAGUGGAACAGAAGCAGAAUAUAAACAAGUCUCAAGAUGCACCCACAACUGGACACCAGACAAAAUAGCCAGAGAGGAGAGCAAGAGAAGGAGAGUUUGAGUUACGGAAACUAAUGCUGCAGGAAAGCUCAUUGUGAUUAAAAAUUCUCAAAUACACUCAAGUCAGUCUUGGAAUACUGUCAGUAGACUUUAGAAUACUUCAAAUGACAAGCGAUUUUUCUCCUGUCCUUAUCACAAGAUGCUAGGCAUAUUUUAAGAGGAUUUUUCCUGUUUAAAAACAUAUAAAUUUUUUAAAAAUUAUCACCGGCUAUUCUGUUCUGUGACACUCUUCAAUAAAAUGUAACCAA